GUAGCCUAGUGGUUAGAGCGUCCGCCUCGGAUGCGUGAGGUCGUGGCUUCGAUUACCGGCCAAGCCA
This is a non-coding RNA of Potamilus streckersoni, 67 nucleotides long. Lineage: Eukaryota; Metazoa; Mollusca; Bivalvia; Unionida; Unionidae. The record is from the annotation of a GenBank genome assembly.